RNAcentral lists this transfer RNA (71 nucleotides) under Loxodonta africana (African savanna elephant). It matches the Rfam family "tRNA". Rfam says of the family: Transfer RNA (tRNA) molecules are approximately 80 nucleotides in length. The record is from Rfam by way of RNAcentral. Lineage: Eukaryota; Metazoa; Chordata; Mammalia; Proboscidea; Elephantidae.
GCAGUGGUGGUUCCGUGGUAGAACUCUCGCCUUCCACGUAGGAGACCUCGGUUUGAUUUCCAGCCAAUGCA